ACCACCCCCACCCCCCUCCUCUGAAGAGGAGGGGGCUUUCAAAUCAGUGCCUUACCUCCCCCUCCUCUUCAGAGGAGGGGGCCGGGGGGUGG
This 92-nucleotide non-coding RNA is filed under the name Novosphingobium sp. SG754. RNAcentral also lists the same sequence under 12 other names. Lineage: Bacteria; Pseudomonadati; Pseudomonadota; Alphaproteobacteria; Sphingomonadales; Sphingomonadaceae. The record is from RNAcentral.